GGCUGGUCUGAAGGUAGUAAGUCAUCUCAAUUUAUUGUUCACAGUCUGUUACAGACUGAACUACUUGUUCUACUCUUUCCCCCCUUUUCACUACUGUGCUUGAUGAAUCUUAA
This is an unclassified non-coding RNA of Otolemur garnettii (small-eared galago), 113 nucleotides long. It matches the Rfam family "Y RNA". Rfam says of the family: Y RNAs are components of the Ro ribonucleoprotein particle (Ro RNP), in association with Ro60 and La proteins. The Y RNAs and Ro60 and La proteins are well conserved, but the function of the Ro RNP is not known. The record is from Ensembl. Lineage: Eukaryota; Metazoa; Chordata; Mammalia; Primates; Galagidae.